RNAcentral lists this unclassified non-coding RNA (5447 nucleotides) under Mizuhopecten yessoensis (Yesso scallop). RNAcentral's name for it is "uncharacterized LOC110463285, transcript variant X3". The record is from RNAcentral. Lineage: Eukaryota; Metazoa; Mollusca; Bivalvia; Pectinida; Pectinidae.
UAUAGGGUCUGGUGUGGAGGUGGUGUGUUUAGUGCCUAAAUUGUUCAUUUCCUGGUCAUUUGAAUGGUCAGUCUCCGGCCAAACAGUACUAUUCAUCACACAGGUGUAAUGAAGGACUGUUGGAGUAACGUUUGGAGAUAUAUUUACCUGUGCGUUGAUCAGUGAGCUGGAACAGACGUAAUAUAUUUAUAUAUACUGGAGGCUCGGCAUGUGUAUGUGCAUUACAAGUUAUGCGUAUCACAGAAUGUGUAUGUUGGUAUUCUAAGGACCGUGUUGGAUAUUUUGUCGGGAGGAUAGCUUAUUAGGACCCCAAUACAGGACGUAUGUAUAAUAGGAGGGACCACUCCACAAACUGGCUAGUUUAGUGACAGGAGCUGUACUGUGGUCCUGUGCUGUUUUCUUCCUCAAGGGGAUUUACCCAAUCUUUGACUCCACGAUGAAGCCGUCAUAGCAGCCCUUCGCCAACAACACUACCAUGACAACCAUGGAACGGUCAGACAGAAUGCUCUUCAUAUCGGAAUCUCCAGUGGAUAGGAGUUUUGACAGUAAAAUGACCAGUUAUAACCAACAGUCCACGGUGACAGAGGUCCAUGUUGUAGGAUCGGAGACAAACAAUGUUGCCCUAAAUCGUGUAUGGGGACCCCCAACGGGGACGGCAACAGCAGAGAUACGCCAUGUGAAUGUAAACAUGGAUGCCAACCACAAUGUGAAACCUUCCGAGUUCCUACAGAGGACUGGUCAUUCCUCUAUGUCUUCGUCUUCAAGUUCAUCCCUGCCGCCACAAACCUCAAUGAAAUCGUACUCCACUGUAUCGUCUUCAGCCUCACUUCCACAUACUACCACGCAGGUCCGGCGGAACCAGUCUGAAAGUGCUGCAGCAGAAAUGCGGCCAGAGGUGGGGAGGGAGCGUGCCACUGCGCAAAUGCGAGGGGUUGGGACAGAAAAUGUAACAGCCCAGGUGUGGGGGACGGAGAGCAUGCAUGCUGAGUACCGAGAUACAGGCCACGCCACAGUCAGCACAGAAGUGAAACACAAAGAAAAUGGAGAGAAGAAAGUGACUAUCUUGGAGAAUGGACAGUGUACCUGUUGUCCCUAUGGUUACCAUAUAGACUUGGACUUCGUCAACUACUGUGACAGUUUGAAUGAUCCUGCCUAUUUGAAAAAGUUGAAAAGGUUACAACGAGAAAAGCGUAAACUUCGUAAAUCUAUGGAAGUCUAUCUUCAACAACAGGAGAAUUCUGAUGUCCAGCAAACAGAGACCGUGGAGCGGAUUAGCCUCGUGCCACUCAACAAACAAAGUGCACCGGCCAAUCAGGUUCUGGAUGAGAUAGACUCAUCAGUGGAUGCCACACUGGCUUCCAUCAACACUAUGAUGUAUACUUCUGCUCAUGGCCGACUCAUGAGCUCCGAAAGUGAAGGCACAUCUAGCUCUACAAGUCCCCAAAACACAGAAAAGUUCAACACAUUUCCACGCAAUCGAGGCAAAAACAUGCAGGAUGAAAUAAAUCAAUUUAAUACAUCUUUUGAAAUGCAAAGAGGACUAACAGAUUCCCAGAGUUCCUUGUCUUCUAUUUCGACAAUUGCCAGUGAACGAAAUUUUCCGACACAAAGUGUAUCAACCUAUAACCACAUGGUUGGCAACAACAACUAUGGCCAGAGUACUGUCACUACGGAAACAAGUAUCUCACGCUUCACACACAUCACAUCUGAACAGUUGGCGGCUACCAUGGCAACACAUUUACCAACACCUGAAGAUGGCGCUGCUUCCUCCCAGUCGACAACAACAAGCAUCAGUAAGUCCUCUCUACACGAGGUGCGCGAGGUGAUGGCAGUGAGCUUACAGAGGAUGAGAGAGCUUGAGGAACAGCUGAAGGCUAUCCCGGUCCUGCAGGUGCGUAUCUCUGUCCUCAAGGAGGAGAAGCGCCUUCUCAUGUUGCAACAGAAAGCUCGCGAGGCUAGGAUGAACAUGCGGUCAAUUGGUGUUGGAGAUUCUCCUGUAGAGGAGGUUGUCAAACCAGUUGUAUCCCCUACGGUUAAGGUUCCACCACCAGUAAUGCCAAAGCCUAGACUGAAGUCCAAGGCUGUAGGGGACAACAACGUGAUGGUGCCUUACCUAGUGCAGCCUGAGUUACCACCCAGCUACACUGUCAGGGACAAUGAAACCAUCAUACGGGAGACGUAUGUGUUGGAGAGAGAACGUGGUAACACUGCAAUCUACUCACCCUUUUCCAGGACACCCAAACCUCUCACUCGAACAAUAGGCAUUGGUGACGCAAAUGUGCUUGAUGAUGGUUUAAAGAUUCACGAAAAAGAACUAAGAACUGUGAUUAUAGGCGAAGCAAAGUCUGUUGGAAAGCGCCAUGUUGGUGUGGAUUGUCGUGUGUCAACAAGGGAUGUUGGUGUGUCUAUUGCGAUUGAUGAGGAGAAGCCUUCGACACGUACGGUUGGUGUUAAUGUUGACACAGGUUCCUUACUAACCUCGCUAAGCUUCAAGGCUGAUGAGAUGAGGAGUGCAUUGAGGGAAGUACUACACAAAAAUGUGCGGAGUAUCGGUGUCAAUUGUGACUAUAGGGCUCAAACCAUGGAGAGAGGGGUACAAUUUUCUGAAUAUUCACUGCGUACCAUAGGUGUAGGGGACUAUGAUGUGGAUAUAGAAUUACGUGCUCCUGUUCCGACGAGAACUGUUGGAAUUGAAGCCCAGCCUCAUGUCAUAAAUAAGGCUUGUAACACAGACUAUGGCUGGAAGCUUGAUGCUAGCACCAACACCGCAAAGCAAUACCAGGAAAACAGGUCAACCAUGACGGACCGGGCGAGACUCGGCAGUGCAGGGACCAUGACUGAGGCUGACAAAAUGUUCUCUGGUGGCACACAGACUGAUGUGAUGAUGUUCAUGAGGAUGGAUCAACUAAAAAAUGCUGGGUGUAAUACAAAACGGAAAAACACUUACAGCAAUGGUGUCCAAACAGACCUGUGUGAAGUUGUGUCGGAGGAUUAUGAACUUGAGGUAAUUUCGAAAAGCAGACGGCCAAUUAAAACUAAUUCCUACACAAAUACGGAUGCAGAGCCUCGAAAAUACAGCACAUCGAUGAAUACAGAGGAACCUAGAAAAUAUAGUAAAUCUGUGAACACUGACUCGGUGAGAACCAGAGACAUUGGAAGUAGUGAUGAUAAAUUAGAUUCAUUUGUAUGUUCCUUUAAUGAUGAAGAACGAAUGGAGGAGACAACGGAAGAGAUCGUCACCUGGACAACAGAGCAGGAGGUCCAGAGUGACUGGUCAGGCCAAAGCAGGGGUCAAGUCAUUGAACGUCAUACGACUGCAUCUCUGGACAAUAACCAGAUAAAAACCUCUAAAGAGAUCAAAGAGGUACCAGAAUCUUCACUGGUGGUUGUGUCUCAGAGGGCGAACAACUUGAUGUCAGCAUCCCCUAAAUAUAAGGAUGAGGCAACCUCCGAGACAUGGGAGGAUAAGCAAGUUACUCAAGUGAGCUCAGACCAACACAGCUGGAAGGAAGGUGACCGCAGUCAGGAGGUAGUGGAGAAAAAGAUCACCAGCCAGGGUGGCGACACUUACACUGUCACCACCAUCACACGCAAGACUCUUGGUGAACCAGAUGGGCAAAUGACCUUGCCAGGUCAGAGUGGUAAAGCCAAUGUAAGGAGUAUCAAAACAGGAGGCAACAUUGAGGUUACUAAGAUCUCUUCUUCUGGUGGUGGCAGUACUGGGGAUGUAUUAUCUGGUAUAAGCGGAAGUCAGCGAACAGUUACCACAGUCACGCAAAGUAUGAGUGGUUCAGGAGGUGGCAGACAAGCGCUGGAAGAAAACAGGGAACAGUCAAUGUCACAAUCUUCAUCUACCUCCAAACUGAAGGCUGAGCUUGAUCUGUUAGGGGGAUCUGGAGGGUCAUCGUCAUUGAUGAUGCAAAAGGGAUCAGGGGGAUCAAUGGAAUCAACAGGUUCAUCAUCGAUAAUGAUAUCCUCGUCCAGUAGUGGUGUGUCAGGAAUGACCUCAAGCAGUGGUCAGUCUGGCUCUGAUCUCAGUCUGAGUGGUCAGUCUUCGACCAGCACCAGCAGCGACACCAAUAAUGAAGAGGAGGAGGAGGUAACUGAGUCACUGGAGAUCAGGACAUAUAGGACUUCUGACUUUACACCAGUUGGCAGGAGCUAUUUUGAGCAGUAUGUCAGUUCUGGAGACAGUGGAAACCUCACUGGAGGUGUAACCAUUAUGAACACACAUUCUGUUGAUUCCACUGAUGGCAGUCGCAGGUCUCUCAAGUCAUGCAUGAAGAAGAGCAAGUCGGACACUCAGAUCAAGAAGGGCAUCACCUUUGCCGAAAAUGUGGUUGGAGGUUAUACAUCUAGCAGUGCAGGUGACGAAAGUUCGGAGGAGGGAGAAUCUGACAGUGAGUCAACAACUAGUUACGAGGAGGGAUCGUACGAUGGGCGAGAGGGCAGCAUUGUCUACCAGUGUAAGGACGAUGAGGCCAUUGCACAGGGAAUGCCUGGGGCCAAGAUGUUUGACCAGAACAUCAGGGAAACAUUCGAGUUGAGUAAAGAAAUGCAAACAUCAUCUUCUGUGCUGGCCAAGUAUUUGGAGGACUCAACAGAGGUACAGACCAAGGAACUGAAUGCCAGCCUUAAUGUGAUCCAGAAGGAAUGGUUUGGCAUUUCUAGCCAGAAGCUGUCAGAGCCCCACCAGGUAGAGGACUACCUGUCAAGCUUAAACGAGAUUUCUCGACGUCUGCUCGAGUAUAUAGUCAACAUGCAGGAUUCCAAUGGAAACACAGCCAUACACUAUGCAGUGUCCCACUGUAAUUUCGAGAUAGUGAACCUGCUGUUGGACACAGGCAAGGUGGACCUGGACAAGCAGAACAAAGCCGGCUACACACCCACCAUGCUGGCCACACUGGCCUACACCCAGACUGAGCGUCAACAGGAGGUUGUCCACAGACUUUUUACAAUGGGCGACAUUAACGCCCGUGCCUCGAAGGAUGGACAGACGGCCCUUAUGUUAGCAGUCAGUCAAGGUCGCACAGAAAUGGUCAAGCUGCUCCUUGAAAACGGAGCGAAUGUAAAUGCCCAGGACAACGAGGGGUCGACCUCCAUGAUGGUUGGAUGUGAACAUGGCUACACAGAAAUUGUCAAGUUACUGAUGUCACAGCCUGAUUAUGACCCCGCCCUGGCAGACAAUGAUGGGAGUACCCCUCUGUCGAUAGCCAUGGAGGCAGGCCACAAGGACAUAGGAGUCCUAUUAUAUGCACAACUUAACUUUAAACGACAGGCACAAGCUUCUCCAUAUUUAGACCUAUCAAUAUAGGCGGGGUCUGAUCUGGCCCCGCCCAGAAGUGUGCUGAUUGACAGGGUCUAACCAGGAGUAGGAAAACUUCUCAUAACACAUCUCCACUAGCCAGUCCAUCCUCUGUUCGGUAGCACUCAAGUGUGUAUAUAUA